GAUGAACGCUGGCGGCGUGCCUAAUACAUGCAAGUCGAGCGAACGGACGAGAAGCUUGCUUCUCUGAUGUUAGCGGCGGACGGGUGAGUAACACGUGGAUAACCUACCUAUAAGACUGGGAUAACUUCGGGAAACCGGAGCUAAUACCGGAUAAUAUUUUGAACCGCAUGGUUCAAAAGUGAAAGACGGUCUUGCUGUCACUUAUAGAUGGAUCCGCGCUGCAUUAGCUAGUUGGUAAGGUAACGGCUUACCAAGGCAACGAUGCAUAGCCGACCUGAGAGGGUGAUCGGCCACACGUGAAGUGAGACAGAGUCCCGGCUCCUGCGGGAGGGCGCAGUAGGGGAUCUUCCGCAAAAGGCGGGAGCCUGACGGAGCGACCGCGAGUGAGGUAUGAAAGUCUUCGGAUCGUAAAACUCUGUUAUUAGGGAAGAACAUAUGUGUAAGUAACUGUGCACAUCUUGACGGUACCUAAUCAGAAAGCCACGGCUAACUACGUG
Molecule: ribosomal RNA, 497 nt
Filed under: uncultured bacterium
Lineage: Bacteria
Description: partial 16S ribosomal RNA
Rfam family: Bacterial small subunit ribosomal RNA
Source: RNAcentral